CUGGAGGUGACCCACUUUGGGCUGUGAUG
Molecule: non-coding RNA, 29 nt
Filed under: Homo sapiens (human)
Lineage: Eukaryota; Metazoa; Chordata; Mammalia; Primates; Hominidae
Source: RNAcentral